RNAcentral lists this ribosomal RNA (425 nucleotides) under uncultured bacterium. Its description in RNAcentral is "bacterial SSU rRNA". It matches the Rfam family "Bacterial small subunit ribosomal RNA", at positions 354 to 796 of the family's 1533-position model. The record is from RNAcentral.
GUUAGGAAUAUUGGACAAUGGGCGCAAGCCUGAUCCAGCCAUGCCGCGUGAGUGAUGAAGGCCUUCGGGUUGUAAAGCUCUUUAGCCGAUGAUUAUAAUGACUGUAGUCGGAAAAUAAGCCCCGGCUAACUUCGUGCCAGCAGCCGCGGUAAUACGAAGGGGGCGAGCGUUAUUCGGAAUCACUGGGCGUAAAGCGUGCGUAGGCGGCUUUGCAAGUUGGGAGUGAAAGACCAGGGAUCAACCCUGGAAUUGCUCUCAAAACUGCAAGGCUCGAAUUCGGGAGAGGAUAGCGGAAUUGUCAGUGUAGCAGUGAAAUGCGUAGAUAUUGACAGGAACACCAGUGGCGUAAGCGGCUAUCUGGACCGAUAUUGACGCUGAGGCACGAAAGCGUGGGGAUCAAACAGGAUUAGAAACCCCGGUAGUCC